Molecule: non-coding RNA, 119 nt
Organism: Ictidomys tridecemlineatus (thirteen-lined ground squirrel)
Lineage: Eukaryota; Metazoa; Chordata; Mammalia; Rodentia; Sciuridae
Source: Ensembl
CAGUCAGAUAUCCAGUGAACCCCUGCUACAGCCUCAGCCGAGCUGGAGAGAGCGGCCAGGCGUCCUGCCUGGGACAGCUGUUUGAGAAGCAUCUUCCGGGCUGCCCUAGCUUCACAGUU